CCUACGGGGGGCAGCAGUGAGGAAUAUUGGUCAAUGGGCGGGAGCCUGAACCAGCCAAGUCGCGUGAAGGAAGACGGCACUAAGUAUUGUAAACCUCUUUUGUCGGGGAACAAAAGCGGAGACGCGUCUCCGGCUGAGUGUAUCCGAAGAAAAAGCAUCGGCUAACUCCGUGCCAGCAGGCGCGGUAAUACGGAGGAUGCGAGCGUUAUCCGGAUUUAUUGGGUUUAAAGGGUGCGCAGGCGGUACGUCAAGUCAGCGGUAAAAUUGCGGGGCUCAACCCCGUCGGGCCGUUGAAACUGG
This 300-nucleotide ribosomal RNA is filed under the name uncultured bacterium. Its description in RNAcentral is "bacterial SSU rRNA". It matches the Rfam family "Bacterial small subunit ribosomal RNA", at positions 338 to 636 of the family's 1533-position model. The record is from RNAcentral.